UACAGAGGGGGCAAGCGUUAUUCGGAAUUAUUGGGCGUAAAGGGCGCGUAGGCGGCUUGGCAAGUGGAUGGUGAAAUCCCUCAGCUUAACCGAGGAACUGCCGUCCAAACUGCUUCGCUUGAGACCGGGAGAGGUGAGUGGAAUUCCCAGUGUAGCGGUGAAAUGCGUAGAUAUUGGGAGGAACACCAGUGGCGAAGGCGGCUCACUGGACCGGUACUGACGCUGAUGCGCGAAAGCGUGGGGAGCAAACGGG
RNAcentral lists this ribosomal RNA (253 nucleotides) under uncultured bacterium. RNAcentral's name for it is "partial 16S ribosomal RNA". It matches the Rfam family "Bacterial small subunit ribosomal RNA", at positions 524 to 776 of the family's 1533-position model. The record is from RNAcentral.